This 33-nucleotide transfer RNA is filed under the name Orobdella kanaekoikeae. RNAcentral's name for it is "partial tRNA-Cys". Lineage: Eukaryota; Metazoa; Annelida; Clitellata; Hirudinida; Orobdellidae. The record is from RNAcentral.
AAAUUUAAAGGUAUACUAUUUAUCAUUUUCUAU